RNAcentral lists this ribosomal RNA (465 nucleotides) under uncultured bacterium. RNAcentral describes it as "bacterial SSU rRNA". It matches the Rfam family "Bacterial small subunit ribosomal RNA", at positions 338 to 795 of the family's 1533-position model. The record is from RNAcentral.
CCUACGGGCCGCACCAGUGGGGAAUAUUGCACAAUGGGCGCAAGCCUGAUGCAGCCAUGCCGCGUGUAUGAAGAAGGCCUUCGGGUUGUAAAGUACUUUCAGCGGGGAGGAAGGUGUUGUGGUUAAUAACCACAGCAAUUGACGUUACCCGCAGAAGAAGCACCGGCUAACUCCGUGCCAGCAGCCGCGGUAAUACGGAGGGUGCAAGCGUUAAUCGGAAUUACUGGGCGUAAAGCGCACGCAGGCGGUCUGUCAAGUCGGAUGUGAAAUCCCCGGGCUCAACCUGGGAACUGCAUUCGAAACUGGCAGGCUAGAGUCUUGUAGAGGGGGGUAGAAUUCCAGGUGUAGCGGUGAAAUGCGUAGAGAUCUGGAGGAAUACCGGUGGCGAAGGCGGCCCCCUGGAUAAAGACUGACGCUCAGGUGCGAAAGCGUGGGGAGCAAACAGGAUUAGAUACCCCCGUAGUC